RNAcentral lists this transfer RNA (85 nucleotides) under Nocardioides marmoriginsengisoli. Its description in RNAcentral is "Marmoricola sp. Gsoil 097 tRNA". It matches the Rfam family "tRNA". From Rfam's summary of the family: Transfer RNA (tRNA) molecules are approximately 80 nucleotides in length. Their secondary structure includes four short double-helical elements and three loops (D, anti-codon, and T loops). Further hydrogen bonds mediate the characteristic L-shaped molecular structure. tRNAs have two regions of fundamental functional importance: the anti-codon, which is responsible for specific mRNA codon recognition, and the 3' end, to which the tRNAs corresponding amino acid is attached (by aminoacyl-tRNA synthetases). tRNAs cope with the degeneracy of the genetic code in two manners: having more than one tRNA (with a specific anti-codon) for a particular amino acid; and 'wobble' base-pairing, i.e. permitting non-standard base-pairing at the 3rd anti-codon position. The record is from Rfam by way of RNAcentral. Lineage: Bacteria; Bacillati; Actinomycetota; Actinomycetes; Propionibacteriales; Nocardioidaceae.
GGAGGGGUGCCGGAGCGGCCGAUCGGAAUCGCCUUGAAAGCGAUCGUAGGGAAACCUACCGGGGGUUCGAAUCCCUCCCCCUCUG